Callorhinus ursinus (northern fur seal) is the source of this 104-nucleotide small nuclear RNA. Lineage: Eukaryota; Metazoa; Chordata; Mammalia; Carnivora; Otariidae. The record is from RefSeq and is a predicted model, not a curated record.
GUGCUCGCUUCAACAGCGCACAUACUAAAACUGGAACAAUACAGAGAUUAGCAUGGCCCCUAUGCAAGGAUGGCAUGCAAAUUCGUGGAGCAUUCCAUAUUUAA